GAUGAACGCUGGCGGCGUGCUUAACACAUGCAAGUCGAACGGCACCCACCCUCGGGUGGAAGCGAGUGGCGAACGGCUGAGUAACACGUGGAGAACCCGCCCCCUCCUCCGGGAUAGCCUCGGGAAACCGUGGGUAAUACCGGAUACCCCGGGCGCCGCAUGGCGCCCGGGCUAAAGCCCCGACGGGAGGGGAUGGCUCCGCGGCCCAUCAGGUAGACGGCGGGGUGACGGCCCACCGUGCCGA
This 244-nucleotide ribosomal RNA is filed under the name uncultured Actinomycetes bacterium. RNAcentral describes it as "uncultured actinobacterium partial 16S ribosomal RNA". It matches the Rfam family "Bacterial small subunit ribosomal RNA", at positions 28 to 276 of the family's 1533-position model. The record is from RNAcentral. Lineage: Bacteria; Bacillati; Actinomycetota; Actinomycetes.